GUUGCCAAUUAUAUUAUUUUGCACCGUUAAUUGAUUCAUGGAUAUUUUCUUUCCUAUGUACUUACUUUCUUUUGGAUUUUUGGAGGAUUAUCUAUACCUAAACUUUGUUCAACUACUAACCUACAUGAUUGAAACAUUUGUAUUAAGAGAGGAAGUACUUGAAUGUGCAAUAAUAUCUAACUUAAUUUUCGAAGGUAUAGAAAGUUUGUUAGAUAAUUUUCGUUCCAUUUAUUUGUCCUUUCCCG
Molecule: long non-coding RNA, 245 nt
Filed under: Elaeis guineensis (African oil palm)
Lineage: Eukaryota; Viridiplantae; Streptophyta; Magnoliopsida; Arecales; Arecaceae
Description: long non-coding RNA (EGUI_LNC002025)
Source: RNAcentral